UACGUAGGGUGCAAGCGUUGUCCGGAAUCAUUGGGCGUAAAGCGCGCGUAGGUGGCUUCGUAAGUCCGUUGUGAAAGUCAAAGGCUCAACCUUUGAAAGCCGAUGGAUACUGCGAGGCUAGAGUCGGGAAGAGGCGAGUGGAAUUCCUGGUGUAGCGGUGGAAUGCGCAGAUAUCAGGAGGAACACCAAUAGCGAAGGCAGCUCGCUGGGACGUACUGACGCUAAGGCGCGAAAGCGUGGGGAGCGAACAGGAUUAGA
Molecule: ribosomal RNA, 258 nt
Filed under: uncultured bacterium
Lineage: Bacteria
Description: partial 16S ribosomal RNA
Rfam family: Bacterial small subunit ribosomal RNA
Source: RNAcentral